AAAAUACUAGUUACUUAUGUAAAAUAAAGAAAAAUAAGCCUAAGAUAUUGGCAACAUAUUUGGUUGGGGGGCUUAUGAAUAGAUUCCAGCCCAAUUCGGUGGACCAACCACCAAACAUUAAUUUAGUUGCCCUUUUCAAUUUUUGCCCUCACCACUACCUAGAGAAUGAAGAACCACUACAACCAUCAUCUUCUCCCUCGGUUCAUGGGAGGAGGCAACAAGGCUUUUGAAUAAAAUGGUGGAUAACAAUAUUUCACUUAAUAUUGUCACAUAUACUAUAUUGAUUGAUGCACUUUGCAAGGAAUGAAUGAUUUCUAAAGCUGUAGAGACCAUUGACAUGAUGAGAAAGCAAGGGUUGAAAAGGAUAAAGCUAGAAGAGUUUUACAGUUGAUGAUUGAAAAGGGUUGUGCACCUAAUGUAGUUACUUACAGCACGAUGAUCAAUAGAUAUUGCAAAGGUAAAAGGUUAGAUGAAGCAAUGGAACUCUUUCAUGAAAUAUCUCAAAAUAGAACCUUCUGAAUAUAGUCACACAAAACACUCUAAUGCAAAGUAUGUUUCAAUUAGGGAGAGUUUCAACUGCAUGUGAACUGUUUACAAAGA
Long non-coding RNA from Gossypium arboreum, 600 nucleotides. RefSeq lists it as uncharacterized. NCBI's taxonomy places the organism in Eukaryota, Viridiplantae, Streptophyta, Magnoliopsida, Malvales, Malvaceae. The record is from RefSeq and is a predicted model, not a curated record. The transcript is spliced from 2 exons.